UGCACUCACAGACAUUUCGAAAGCAAGUCUAAAGCAGAUCAGAAGCAGAAGAAAACACGAUGAGUAAAGUAACGUUGGUUUGUCUGUUGAUGUCGUUAACUGUGUAUUGUCUGAUCGACUCUAAUGGUGCAAGUACCAUUGAUCCAACUACAACCAAGGCACAAG
This is a long non-coding RNA of Saccoglossus kowalevskii, 165 nucleotides long. The record is from RefSeq and is a predicted model, not a curated record. NCBI's taxonomy places the organism in Eukaryota, Metazoa, Hemichordata, Enteropneusta, Harrimaniidae.